This 543-nucleotide ribosomal RNA is filed under the name uncultured bacterium. RNAcentral's name for it is "bacterial SSU rRNA". It matches the Rfam family "Bacterial small subunit ribosomal RNA", at positions 8 to 526 of the family's 1533-position model. The record is from RNAcentral.
AGAGUUUGAUCAUGGCUCAGAGCGAACGUUAGCGGCGGGCCUAACACAUGCAAGUCGAACGAGAAUAGGGGAGCAAUCCCCUUAGUAAAGUGGCGGACGGGUGCGUAACACGUGGGUAAUCUACCUUCCGGCGGGGGACAACAGUCCGAAAGGAUUGCUAAUACCGCAUACGUCAGCGAGGUCUACGGACCUUGUUGGGAAAGAUGGCCUCUCCUUGGAAGCUGUCACCGGAAGAUGAGCCCGCGCCCCAUCAGCUAGUUGGUGAGGUAAUGGCUCACCAAGGCUUAGACGGGUAGCUGGUCUGAGAGGAUGAUCAGCCACACUGGGACUGCGACACGGCCCAGACUCCUACGGGAGGCAGCAGUGGGGAAUAUUGGGCAAUGGGCGCAAGCCUGACCCAGCCACGCCGCGUGAGUGAUGAAGGCCUUCGGGUCGUAAAGCUCUGUGGGGAGGGACGAACAAAUCUGGGGCUAAUCACCCGGAUCCUGACGGUACCUCCUUAGCAAGCACCGGCUAACCCUGUGCCAGCAGCGGCGGUAAUAC